This 1450-nucleotide ribosomal RNA is filed under the name uncultured organism. RNAcentral's name for it is "16S ribosomal RNA". It matches the Rfam family "Bacterial small subunit ribosomal RNA". The record is from RNAcentral.
UGGCGGCAGGCCUAACACAUGCAAGUCGAGCGGUAGCACAGAGAGCUUGCUCUCGGGUGACGAGCGGCGGACGGGUGAGUAAUGUCUGGGAAACUGCCUGAUGGAGGGGGAUAACUACUGGAAACGGUAGCUAAUACCGCAUAACGUCGCAAGACCAAAGUGGGGGACCUUCGGGCCUCAUGCCAUCAGAUGUGCCCAGAUGGGAUUAGCUAGUAGGUGGGGUAACGGCUCACCUAGGCGACGAUCCCUAGCUGGUCUGAGAGGAUGACCAGCCACACUGGAACUGAGACACGGUCCAGACUCCUACGGGAGGCAGCAGUGGGGAAUAUUGCACAAUGGGCGCAAGCCUGAUGCAGCCAUGCCGCGUGUGUGAAGAAGGCCUUCGGGUUGUAAAGCACUUUCAGCGGGGAGGAAGGCGGUGAGGUUAAUAACCUCAUCGAUUGACGUUACCCGCAGAAGAAGCACCGGCUAACUCCGUGCCAGCAGCCGCGGUAAUACGGAGGGUGCAAGCGUUAAUCGGAAUUACUGGGCGUAAAGCGCACGCAGGCGGUCUGUCAAGUCGGGAUGGGAAAUCCCCGGGGCUCAACCUGGGAACUGCAUUCGAAACUGGCAGGCUAGAGUCUUGUAGAGGGGGGUAGAAUUCCAGGUGUAGCGGUGAAAUGCGUAGAGAUCUGGAGGAAUACCGGUGGCGAAGGCGGCCCCCUGGACAAAGACUGACGCUCAGGUGCGAAAGCGUGGGGAGCAAACAGGAUUAGAUACCCUGGUAGUCCACGCCGUAAACGAUGUCGAUUUGGAGGUUGUGCCCUUGAGGCGUGGCUUCCGGAGCUAACGCGUUAAAUCGACCGCCUGGGGAGUACGGCCGCAAGGUUAAAACUCAAAUGAAUUGACGGGGGCCCGCACAAGCGGUGGAGCAUGUGGUUUAAUUCGAUGCAACGCGAAGAACCUUACCUGGUCUUGACAUCCACAGAACUUUCCAGAGAUGGAUUGGUGCCUUCGGGAACUGUGAGACAGGUGCUGCAUGGCUGUCGUCAGCUCGUGUUGUGAAAUGUUGGGUUAAGUCCCGCAACGAGCGCAACCCUUAUCCUUUGUUGCCAGCGGUUAGGCCGGGAACUCAAAGGAGACUGCCAGUGAUAAACUGGAGGAAGGUGGGGAUGACGUCAAGUCAUCAUGGCCCUUACGACCAGGGCUACACACGUGCUACAAUGGCAUAUACAAAGAGAAGCGACCUCGCGAGAGCAAGCGGACCUCAUAAAGUAUGUCGUAGUCCGGAUUGGAGUCUGCAACUCGACUCCAUGAAGUCGGAAUCGCUAGUAAUCGUAGAUCAGAAUGCUACGGUGAAUACGUUCCCGGGCCUUGUACACACCGCCCGUCACACCAUGGGAGUGGGUUGCAAAAGAAGUAGGUAGCUUAACCUUCGGGAGGGCGCUUACCACUUUGUGAUUCAUGACUG